RNAcentral lists this small RNA (18 nucleotides) under Arabidopsis thaliana (thale cress). Its description in RNAcentral is "ATSL144940". Lineage: Eukaryota; Viridiplantae; Streptophyta; Magnoliopsida; Brassicales; Brassicaceae. The record is from RNAcentral.
CAUCGUCAAUUCUCUUAU